GGACCGCUUUUGCACCAGCUUCACCAGGGUAACCAAUCCAAAGAAUGCUAGCAACUUUCGGGUCUAGUUUGGCAAAUGAUACAUCAAGCGGUCCUCCACCAGUAAGAACCAGAAUCACUGGCUUUUUACUAGCUGCUGCAACAGAAGAUACCAGAGCCCUUUGUUUACCAGGUAACAAAAGACUAACCCGGUCAAGUUCUUCAGUUUCUUGUGACAAAUCAAGCCCAGCAACUACAAUUACAUAAUCAGCACUUUUGGCAAUAUCUAUUGCUU
RNAcentral lists this unclassified non-coding RNA (273 nucleotides) under Hevea brasiliensis (rubber tree). Lineage: Eukaryota; Viridiplantae; Streptophyta; Magnoliopsida; Malpighiales; Euphorbiaceae. The record is from RNAcentral.